Molecule: ribosomal RNA, 2901 nt
Filed under: Escherichia coli
Lineage: Bacteria; Pseudomonadati; Pseudomonadota; Gammaproteobacteria; Enterobacterales; Enterobacteriaceae
Description: bacterial LSU rRNA
Rfam family: Bacterial large subunit ribosomal RNA
Source: RNAcentral
UUAAGCGACUAAGCGUACACGGUGGAUGCCCUGGCAGUCAGAGGCGAUGAAGGACGUGCUAAUCUGCGAUAAGCGUCGGUAAGGUGAUAUGAACCGUUAUAACCGGCGAUUUCCGAAUGGGGAAACCCAGUGUGUUUCGACACACUAUCAUUAACUGAAUCCAUAGGUUAAUGAGGCGAACCGGGGGAACUGAAACAUCUAAGUACCCCGAGGAAAAGAAAUCAACCGAGAUUCCCCCAGUAGCGGCGAGCGAACGGGGAGCAGCCCAGAGCCUGAAUCAGUGUGUGUGUUAGUGGAAGCGUCUGGAAAGGCGCGCGAUACAGGGUGACAGCCCCGUACACAAAAAUGCACAUGCUGUGAGCUCGAUGAGUAGGGCGGGACACGUGGUAUCCUGUCUGAAUAUGGGGGGACCAUCCUCCAAGGCUAAAUACUCCUGACUGACCGAUAGUGAACCAGUACCGUGAGGGAAAGGCGAAAAGAACCCCGGCGAGGGGAGUGAAAAAGAACCUGAAACCGUGUACGUACAAGCAGUGGGAGCACGCUUAGGCGUGUGACUGCGUACCUUUUGUAUAAUGGGUCAGCGACUUAUAUUCUGUAGCAAGGUUAACCGAAUAGGGGAGCCGAAGGGAAACCGAGUCUUAACUGGGCGUUAAGUUGCAGGGUAUAGACCCGAAACCCGGUGAUCUAGCCAUGGGCAGGUUGAAGGUUGGGUAACACUAACUGGAGGACCGAACUGACUAAUGUUGAAAAAUUAGCGGAUGACUUGUGGCUGGGGGUGAAAGGCCAAUCAAACCGGGAGAUAGCUGGUUCUCCCCGAAAGCUAUUUAGGUAGCGCCUCGUGAAUUCAUCUCCGGGGGUAGAGCACUGUUUCGGCAAGGGGGUCAUCCCGACUUACCAACCCGAUGCAAACUGCGAAUACCGGAGAAUGUUAUCACGGGAGACACACGGCGGGUGCUAACGUCCGUCGUGAAGAGGGAAACAACCCAGACCGCCAGCUAAGGUCCCAAAGUCAUGGUUAAGUGGGAAACGAUGUGGGAAGGCCCAGACAGCCAGGAUGUUGGCUUAGAAGCAGCCAUCAUUUAAAGAAAGCGUAAUAGCUCACUGGUCGAGUCGGCCUGCGCGGAAGAUGUAACGGGGCUAAACCAUGCACCGAAGCUGCGGCAGCGACACUAUGUGUUGUUGGGUAGGGGAGCGUUCUGUAAGCCUGUGAAGGUGUGCUGUGAGGCAUGCUGGAGGUAUCAGAAGUGCGAAUGCUGACAUAAGUAACGAUAAAGCGGGUGAAAAGCCCGCUCGCCGGAAGACCAAGGGUUCCUGUCCAACGUUAAUCGGGGCAGGGUGAGUCGACCCCUAAGGCGAGGCCGAAAGGCGUAGUCGAUGGGAAACAGGUUAAUAUUCCUGUACUUGGUGUUACUGCGAAGGGGGGACGGAGAAGGCUAUGUUGGCCGGGCGACGGUUGUCCCGGUUUAAGCGUGUAGGCUGGUUUUCCAGGCAAAUCCGGAAAAUCAAGGCUGAGGCGUGAUGACGAGGCACUACGGUGCUGAAGCAACAAAUGCCCUGCUUCCAGGAAAAGCCUCUAAGCAUCAGGUAACAUCAAAUCGUACCCCAAACCGACACAGGUGGUCAGGUAGAGAAUACCAAGGCGCUUGAGAGAACUCGGGUGAAGGAACUAGGCAAAAUGGUGCCGUAACUUCGGGAGAAGGCACGCUGAUAUGUAGGUGAGGUCCCUCGCGGAUGGAGCUGAAAUCAGUCGAAGAUACCAGCUGGCUGCAACUGUUUAUUAAAAACACAGCACUGUGCAAACACGAAAGUGGACGUAUACGGUGUGACGCCUGCCCGGUGCCGGAAGGUUAAUUGAUGGGGUUAGCGCAAGCGAAGCUCUUGAUCGAAGCCCCGGUAAACGGCGGCCGUAACUAUAACGGUCCUAAGGUAGCGAAAUUCCUUGUCGGGUAAGUUCCGACCUGCACGAAUGGCGUAAUGAUGGCCAGGCUGUCUCCACCCGAGACUCAGUGAAAUUGAACUCGCUGUGAAGAUGCAGUGUACCCGCGGCAAGACGGAAAGACCCCGUGAACCUUUACUAUAGCUUGACACUGAACAUUGAGCCUUGAUGUGUAGGAUAGGUGGGAGGCUUAGAAGUGUGGACGCCAGUCUGCAUGGAGCCGACCUUGAAAUACCACCCUUUAAUGUUUGAUGUUCUAACGUUGACCCGUAAUCCGGGUUGCGGACAGUGUCUGGUGGGUAGUUUGACUGGGGCGGUCUCCUCCUAAAGAGUAACGGAGGAGCACGAAGGUUGGCUAAUCCUGGUCGGACAUCAGGAGGUUAGUGCAAUGGCAUAAGCCAGCUUGACUGCGAGCGUGACGGCGCGAGCAGGUGCGAAAGCAGGUCAUAGUGAUCCGGUGGUUCUGAAUGGAAGGGCCAUCGCUCAACGGAUAAAAGGUACUCCGGGGAUAACAGGCUGAUACCGCCCAAGAGUUCAUAUCGACGGCGGUGUUUGGCACCUCGAUGUCGGCUCAUCACAUCCUGGGGCUGAAGUAGGUCCCAAGGGUAUGGCUGUUCGCCAUUUAAAGUGGUACGCGAGCUGGGUUUAGAACGUCGUGAGACAGUUCGGUCCCUAUCUGCCGUGGGCGCUGGAGAACUGAGGGGGGCUGCUCCUAGUACGAGAGGACCGGAGUGGACGCAUCACUGGUGUUCGGGUUGUCAUGCCAAUGGCACUGCCCGGUAGCUAAAUGCGGAAGAGAUAAGUGCUGAAAGCAUCUAAGCACGAAACUUGCCCCGAGAUGAGUUCUCCCUGACCCUUUAAGGGUCCUGAAGGAACGUUGAAGACGACGACGUUGAUAGGCCGGGUGUGUAAGCGCAGCGAUGCGUUGAGCUAACCGGUACUAAUGAACCGUGAGGCUUAACCUU